Oryctolagus cuniculus (rabbit) is the source of this 1788-nucleotide non-coding RNA. Lineage: Eukaryota; Metazoa; Chordata; Mammalia; Lagomorpha; Leporidae. The record is from RefSeq and is a predicted model, not a curated record.
ACCUGAUCGGCGGAAAGGGGGUGCUGCAGAGCCCGAAAUUGAGGGGGCGGGGCAUGAGGGACGGAGGCGGGCUUUCGGCUGUCAAAAUCUGUUUGGUUGCUUUUCUCCCUGUAGAACUGAAUCUGGAGUUGUUUUCCUCUGUGAACCGGAGAAUGCAGUAAUGAAAAGACCUGAAGAUAGGAUGCUUUGGAGCCAAACAAAACUGAGCAUUGAAGAGAGAGAAGUAAGGAGCAGGACAGUAAGCUUCUCUGAAAAUGGAGAGCAUACCGGCAUCACAACUGCAGUGACUUGACUGGCACCAAAGGCAUUCAGGUGCGCAUGUGAGAAGGCACUCCCGACUGUGAAGAAUCAUGUGGACACUGAGUAGGUGUCACUGUGAUGGGGAAGAUCCGCGUAGACACCGAACAGGCAUCUGGUAGACUCUGGAGAACUCCAUAAUAGGAGAAGCACCUUAAAUCCUGCCUGGACCACAAAAUGUGCACAACAGGUGCAUACUAGAUGAACGAAGGAACAACCAAGAGAAGGGAUGAAGAGGGUUCGGGACAGGUGAGUGAUUGAUCAAACAUUUUCUGAAGAGAGGUUGGCCCCUGGCUGUGAGAAGGCACAUGCUCUGGUGAUUGAAGUGACAUUUCUUUUUUUUUUUUUCAAGAUUUAUGAUUUAUUUAUUUUAAAGACAGAGUUACAGAGAGAGGUAGAUACAGAGAGAGGUCUUCCAUCUGCUGGUUCACUACCCAAAUGGCCGCGAUGGCCAGAGUGAGCUGAUUCAAAGCCAGGAGCCAGGAGCCAGGAGCCAGGAGCCAGGAGCCAGGAGCUUCUUCUGGGUCUCCCACGCAGCUGCAGAGGUCUAAGCACUUGGGCCAUCCUCCACUGCUUUCCCAGGCCAUAGUAGAGAGCUGGAUUGGAAGUGGAGCAGCUGGGACUCAAACUGGCACCCAUAUGUGAUGCUGGCUGCAGGCCAGGAGCAGCUGGGACUCAAACUGGCACCCAUAUGUGAUGCUGGCUGCAGGCCAGGGUUUUAACCCACUGUCCACAGCGCCGGCCCUGAAAUGGCAUUUCUUCAUUGCACAAGUGAUUCCUGCUUUUCUACCUCCAGCCUCUGUCUUUUAUGUCAGUGUAAAGGACAUUCUUCUUCUUCUUCUUCUUUUUUUUUUUUAAAGAUUUUAUUUAUUUACUUGACAGGUAGAGUUACAGACAGUGAGAGGGACAGACAGAGAGAAAGGUCUUCCUUCCAUUGGUUCACUCCCCAGAUGGCCACAAUGGCCGGAGCUGUGCUGAUCCGAAGCCAGGAGCCAGGAGCUUCUCCUGGUCUCCCAUGGGGUGCAGGGGCCCAAGCACAUGUGCCAUCCUCCACUGCUAUCCCAGGCCACAGCAGAGAGCUGGACUGGAAGAGGAGCAAGCGGGAUUAGAACUGGUGCCCAUUUGGGAGGCCAGCGCCACAGACGGAGGAUUAACCUAAUGCUCCAGGACAGACAUUCUUAUUCCAUGCCUUAGUUUACCUCAAACCGGGGGGUCCUGUCGAGCUCUGCAAUUUUCCAAGUACGCACGCAUUUACAAUACCCUAGUCAGCAGACAAAUCUGGAGGUGCAGAAACAUUUCCGGCAUCCCCAGAGCAGAGGCUGAAAUGUGACUGCUGUUGUAGUCUAACAAGAGCAAUGCUUCAUCUCUGAGGGCCAGGGCUCUCUGGGCCAAAGUCAGAGGGCAGAAUCGACGAUGCUGCACCUCUGUUCCCUUCCUAGUUAGGCACUCCCAAAGGACCUGCCCUGUCAAAAGAGUACUCAUCUGAGUGCU